RNAcentral lists this ribosomal RNA (681 nucleotides) under Cortinarius camphoratus. RNAcentral's name for it is "eukaryotic LSU rRNA". It matches the Rfam family "Eukaryotic large subunit ribosomal RNA", at positions 1 to 653 of the family's 3401-position model. Lineage: Eukaryota; Fungi; Basidiomycota; Agaricomycetes; Agaricales; Cortinariaceae. The record is from RNAcentral.
GUGACCUCAAAUCAGGUAGGACUACCCGCUGAACUUAAGCAUAUCAAUAAGCGGAGGAAAAGAAACUAACAAGGAUUCCCCUAGUAACUGCGAGUGAAGCGGGAAAAGCUCAAAUUUAAAAUCUGACAGUCAUCUGGCUGCUCCGAGUUGUAAUCUAGAGAAGUGCUAUCCGCGCUGGACCGUGUACAAGUCUCCUGGAAUGGAGCAUCAUAGAGGGUGAGAAUCCCGUCUUUGACAUGGACUGCCAGGGCUUUUGUGAUGCGCUCUCAAAGAGUCGAGUUGUUUGGGAAUGCAGCUCAAAAUGGGUGGUAAAUUCCAUCUAAAGCUAAAUAUUGGCGAGAGACCGAUAGCGAACAAGUACCGUGAGGGAAAGAUGAAAAGAACUUUGGAAAGAGAGUUAAACAGUACGUGAAAUUGCUGAAAGGGAAACGCUUGAAGUCAGUCGCGUCGUCCAGGGAUCAACCUCGCUUUUGCUUGGUGCACUUUCUGGUUUGACGGGUCAGCAUCAAUUUUGACCAUUGGAAAAAGGUCAGGGGAAUGUGGCAUCCUUGGAUGUGUUUAUAGCCCUUGGUCGCAUACAAUGGUUUGGGAUUGAGGAACUCAGCACGCCGCAAGGCCGGGUGUUUACACCACGCACGUGCUUAGGAUGCUGACAUAUAUAAUGGCUUUAAUCGACCCGUC